This is a long non-coding RNA of Mus musculus (house mouse), 272 nucleotides long. RefSeq annotates it as predicted gene, 52602. The transcript has 2 exons. Lineage: Eukaryota; Metazoa; Chordata; Mammalia; Rodentia; Muridae. The record is from RefSeq and is a predicted model, not a curated record.
CAGCAAGCCAGCUGGCCAGCCUUCAGGGAGCAUGGGCCCAGGCCUGCUGUUCACAGUGUGCAGUAGGCAGGGCAGGUGGAGUCUGAAGGAAGAGGCCCCACACGGGCAAAGGAAAACAUCACAAAUGAACUGACCUAUCUCAAUGACACAUGUGACCUUCAGUUGGCUCACAUUCCUUGUCAUGGUGAUGGCUCCUCUUCCACUGCCGCACUAAGGUAACCAUGAAGCUACUGUGACCUGAAGAGGCUGAAAGUGUGUUCACGAGCGCAAAG